CUUCUCCCUGAGUGUUCCUUCCUAUAGAAAAUGAGCAAAGAGUAAUGGCAGUAAAAGAUUUCUCACUGUCAAAGGGUCCUGAGUCUGAUUUAAAUAAAAUACCCAUUUUUAAAAAAUUGAUAGCCAAACACAGUAAAAGCUAAUAAGUAUAUUGACCUUACAGAUGACAUGUAUAUAUUAACUGUUAACCUAACUUCUUAGAGGCCUUCUUAAUCUUAGAAUAAACAUAUACAUUCUUUGGCCUUAUGAAAAUUUCCCCAAAGCCAAUAAUAAAUCAAUUGCUAUAAAGCAAUUAUUUUUCAAUAAAUGAAUAACCUAGAACUGCCACUAAGAUUCAGUUUGCUUCAGUGAAUCAUACAAUUCCAGGAAAUUGAUUUGUGCAAUUUUUCGUUGUGUGUGUGUGGCGGGGGAGGAGUAUAUAUUUGUAGUAUGAAAAGGAGCAUAUUUUGAUGUAUUUGAAACUAUCACGAAGGAGA
Molecule: long non-coding RNA, 476 nt
Filed under: Marmota monax (woodchuck)
Lineage: Eukaryota; Metazoa; Chordata; Mammalia; Rodentia; Sciuridae
Source: RNAcentral